Molecule: ribosomal RNA, 488 nt
Filed under: uncultured bacterium
Lineage: Bacteria
Description: bacterial SSU rRNA
Rfam family: Bacterial small subunit ribosomal RNA
Source: RNAcentral
UACGGAAGGCAGCAGGGGGAAUAUUGCACAAUGGGCGCAAGCCUGAUGCAGCCAUGCCGCGUGUAUGAAGAAGGCCUUUCGGGUUGUAAAGUACUUUUCAGUCGUGAGGAAGGUGUUAAGGUUAAUAACCUUAGCAAUUGACGUUAGCGACAGAAGAAGCACCGGCUAACUCCGUGCCAGCAGCCGCGGUAAUACGGAGGGUGCGAGCGUUAAUCGGAAUUACUGGGCGUAAAGGGCACGCAGGCGGUUAAUUAAGUUGGAUGUGAAAUCCCCGGGCUUAACCUGGGAAUGGCAUUCAAGACUGGUUAGCUAGAGUCUUGUAGAGGGGGUAGAAUUCCAUGUGUAGCGGUGAAAUGCGUAGAGAUGUGGAGGAAUACCGGUGGCGAAGGCGGCCCCUGGACAAAGACUGACGCUCAUGUGCGAAAGCGUGGGGAGCAAACAGGGAUUAGAUACCCUCUGAGGAACUACCAAAGGGCACACAGGGGAAU